RNAcentral lists this ribosomal RNA (465 nucleotides) under uncultured bacterium. RNAcentral describes it as "partial 16S ribosomal RNA". It matches the Rfam family "Bacterial small subunit ribosomal RNA", at positions 28 to 507 of the family's 1533-position model. The record is from RNAcentral.
GACGAACGCUGGCGGCGUGCUUAACACAUGCAAGUCGAACGGAAAGGCCCUGCUUGCAGGGUACUCGAGUGGCGAACGGGUGAGUAACACGUGGGUGAUCUGCCCUGCACUUUGGGAUAAGCCUGGGAAACUGGGUCUAAUACCGGAUAGGAGCCAUUUUUAGUGUGAUGGUUGGAAAGUUUUUUCGGUGUAGGAUGAGCUCGCGGCCUAUCAGCUUGUUGGUGGGGUAAUGGCCUACCAAGGCGGCGACGGGUAGCCGGCCUGAGAGGGUGGACGGCCACAUUGGGACUGAGAUACGGCCCAGACUCCUACGGGAGGCAGCGGUGGGGAAUAUUGCACAAUGGGCGCAAGCCUGAUGCAGCGACGCCGCGUGGGGGAUGACGGCCUUCGGGUUGUAAACUCCUUUCGCUAGGGACGAAGCUUUUUGUGACGGUACCUAGAUAAGAAGCACCGGCUAACUACGUG